RNAcentral lists this ribosomal RNA (411 nucleotides) under uncultured Anaerolineaceae bacterium. RNAcentral describes it as "bacterial SSU rRNA". It matches the Rfam family "Bacterial small subunit ribosomal RNA", at positions 957 to 1382 of the family's 1533-position model. The record is from RNAcentral. Lineage: Bacteria; Bacillati; Chloroflexota; Anaerolineae; Anaerolineales; Anaerolineaceae.
CUACACGAAGAACCUUACCUGGGUUUGACAUAUAGGUUGUAGGGAACUGAAAAGGGACCGACCCUUCGGGGAGCCUAUACAGGUGUUGCAUGGCUGUCGUCAGCUCGUGUCGUGAGAUGUUCGGUUAAGUCCGCUAACGAGCGCAACCCUCGUCGUAUGUUAUAUGUGUCAUACGAGACUGCCGGUAAAAGCCGGAGGAAGGUGAGGAUGAUGUCAAGUCAGCAUGACCUUUAUAUCCAGGGCUACACACACGCUACAAUGGUCUGUACAAUGGGUAGCCAAGCCGCGAGGCGGAGCCAAUCCUGAAAGCAGGCCUCAGUUCAGAUUGCAGUCUGCAACUCGACUGCAUGAAGCCGGAGUUGCUAGUAACCGCAGGUCAGCAAUACUGCGGUGAAUACGUUCCCGGGUCUU